CCUACGGGAGGCUGCAGUGGGGAAUAUUGCGCAAUGGAGGAAACUCUGACGCAGCAACGCCGCGUGAGUGAUGAAGGUCUUCGGAUUGUAAAGCUCUGUCUUCAGGGACGAUAAUGACGGUACCUGAGGAGGAAGCCACGGCUAACUACGUGCCAGCAGCCGCGGUAAUACGUAGGUGGCAAGCGUUGUCCGGAUUUAUUGGGCGUAAAGCAUGCGUAGGCGGAUACUUAAGUGGGAUGUGAAAACCCGGGGCUCAACUCCGGACCUGCAUUCCAAACUGGGUGUCUAGAGUACAGGAGAGGAAAGGGGAAUUCCUAGUGUAGCGGUGAAAUGCGUAGAGAUUAGGAAGAACACCAGUGGCGAAGGCGCCUUUCUGGACUGUAACUGACGCUGAGGCAUGAAAGCGUGGGUAGCAAACAGGAUUAGAUACCCCAGUAGUC
RNAcentral lists this ribosomal RNA (440 nucleotides) under uncultured Clostridium sp. RNAcentral describes it as "bacterial SSU rRNA". It matches the Rfam family "Bacterial small subunit ribosomal RNA", at positions 338 to 795 of the family's 1533-position model. Lineage: Bacteria; Bacillati; Bacillota; Clostridia; Eubacteriales; Clostridiaceae. The record is from RNAcentral.